UGGGCAAUAUUGGACAAUGGGGGGAACCCUGAUCCAGCCAUGCCGCGUGUGUGAAGAAGGUCUUCGGAUUGUAAAGCACUUUAAGUUGGGAGGAAGGGCAGUAAGCGAAUACCUUGCUGUUUUGACGUUACCGACAGAAUAAGCACCGGCUAACUCUGUGCCAGCAGCCGCGGUAAUACAGAGGGUGCAAGCGUUAAUCGGAAUUACUGGGCGUAAAGCGUGCGUAGGCGGCUGAUUAAGUCGGAUGUGAAAUCCCUGAGCUUAACUUGGGAAUUGCAUUCGAUACUGGUUAGCUAGAGUGUGGGAGAGGAUGGUAGAAUUCCAGGUGUAGCGGUGAAAUGCGUAGAGAUCUGGAGGAAUACCGAUGGCGAAGGCAGCCAUCUGGCCUAACACUGACGCUGAGGUACGAAAGCAUGGGGAGCAAACAGG
RNAcentral lists this ribosomal RNA (429 nucleotides) under Pseudomonadota bacterium. RNAcentral's name for it is "Proteobacteria bacterium partial 16S ribosomal RNA". It matches the Rfam family "Bacterial small subunit ribosomal RNA", at positions 355 to 776 of the family's 1533-position model. Lineage: Bacteria; Pseudomonadati; Pseudomonadota. The record is from RNAcentral.